UGGGGAAUUUUGGACAAUGGGGGAAACCCUGAUCCAGCCAUCCCGCGUGUGCGAUGAAGGCCUUCGGGUUUUAAAGCACUUUUGGCAGGAAAGAAACGUCAUGGGUUAAUACCCCGUGAAACUGACGGUACCUGCAGAAUAAGCACCGGCUAACUACGUGCCAGCAGCCGCGGUAAUACGUAGGGUGCAAGCGUUAAUCGGAAUUACUGGGCGUAAAGCGUGCGCAGGCGGUUCGGAAAGAAAGAUGUGAAAUCCCAGAGCUCAACUUUGGAACUGCAUUUUUAACUACCGGGCUAGAGUGUGUCAGAGGGAGGUGGAAUUCCGCGUGUAGCAGUGAAAUGCGUAGAUAUGCGGAGGAACACCGAUGGCGAAGGCAGCCUCCUGAGAUAACACUGACGCUCAUGCACGAAAGCGUGGGGAGCAAACAGG
RNAcentral lists this ribosomal RNA (429 nucleotides) under Acidobacteriota bacterium. RNAcentral's name for it is "Acidobacteria bacterium partial 16S ribosomal RNA". It matches the Rfam family "Bacterial small subunit ribosomal RNA", at positions 355 to 776 of the family's 1533-position model. Lineage: Bacteria; Pseudomonadati; Acidobacteriota. The record is from RNAcentral.